UACGAAGGGGGCUAGCGUUGCUCGGAAUCACUGGGCGUAAAGGGUGCGUAGGCGGGUCUUUAAGUCAGGGGUGAAAUCCUGGAGCUCAACUCCAGAACUGCCUUUGAUACUGAAGAUCUUGAGUUCGGGAGAGGUGAGUGGAACUGCGAGUGUAGAGGUGAAAUUCGUAGAUAUUCGCAAGAACACCAGUGGCGAAGGCGGCUCACUGGCCCGGUACUGACGCUGAGGUGCGAAAGCGUGGGGAGCAACAGG
RNAcentral lists this ribosomal RNA (252 nucleotides) under uncultured bacterium. Its description in RNAcentral is "partial 16S ribosomal RNA". It matches the Rfam family "Bacterial small subunit ribosomal RNA", at positions 524 to 775 of the family's 1533-position model. The record is from RNAcentral.